GAGAGAGAGAGAGAGAAAGAGAUCAUACAGAUGAAAUCAAGACACAAGUUUCUUCAAGGUGAUGUUGAAGCCAAGACCAUCAUGCAGAAGGGCGAAGGUGAAGGUGAAGACUCCAUGGAAGAUUACAAUAAGAGUAAUUGGUUUGUAAUGGAGGCAACGACUACUUCAUCUUCAUCUUCAUCUUAAUUUGGUGCUAUCCUACCUGAGCUUUUUCAACUAUCCUCUUCUUCUUCAUUUUUACUUUGUUUUUAAUUUCUUUCUUUUCUUAAUUUGUUUCUACUUUUAAAGUCUUCUUGACCUUGUAAGACCUUUUCUUGACCUUGUAAGACCCCAUUUUGUGAAUUUUUAUUUUUGUUUUUGUUUUUUAACAAAUUCUAUAGCAGAAUUUUCUGAUAUAGAGUUUGAUCAUCGUUUCUCCCCGGUUCCGCCCAACUCAUCUUCUCCUUCCUUGUCUAUCCCUCCUGAGCUGUUCGAAGCAAAAGUAGCAUACGAUCUUUCUUCAUAAGUAUAAAAUUCUUCAAUUAAACACCAUUUUUGCAAUGUGGGGUUUAGGUUUUUAUCCCAUAAUAUGUAGAUAUUGUAUCAUGAGUUUGAGAUGAGAGUUCUGUAAAAGAGUACUACUUCUACAGUUCUACUUGAAGCAAUUGUAAUAAAAAGUCUCUGUGUUUGUGUGUAUAGUUUGUUUUGUUUUGUUUUCUUUAUGUAUUUGACAGUGAAAACACUAUUUCAUAUUCUGUUAAGACCAUCAAUUUCAAUUGUUAUUA
Long non-coding RNA from Pistacia vera, 764 nucleotides. RefSeq lists it as uncharacterized. Lineage: Eukaryota; Viridiplantae; Streptophyta; Magnoliopsida; Sapindales; Anacardiaceae. The transcript has 2 exons. The record is from RefSeq and is a predicted model, not a curated record.